GGUUUAUUGGUGAUUCCAGUUUUCUCCUCUGGGGGUUGUUGAUAGGCUUUUGUCAUUUUUCUGUUUUUCUUAAUUGUAUCUAGGAAUUCUUUACACAGAGAUGCCACAAAGUUUAACUUUGGCCUCAGUACUCAGGAAAAGAUAUACUUGGUUUCAGCCUUGGCUUCAGGCUUUGAAAGACAGAGUAACAAAUAGCUACUUCUUUUCUGGCCCCUUCAUCAUCUGCUUGUUCAAUGGAGGUAGGACCACUCAAAUUACGAACAAGGUGUAGCCCUCGAAUUGGCUAUUAACAUCUGAAUACAUACUAAGUAUUCAUUUUCAAACUUAGGAGAGCAGUCUAGAUGUAACUUGGAAUAAAAACCUCCAUGGGCUUCUACAGGCUGUUAAAAUAUAAGCAUAUUUAUGUGUUUCAAUAAUAAAAUGUUGAAAUAUGCUGAUUUUGAAAGCUGUUAAUUUGCUGUACAAAAAUUAUUAAGAACUUUCAAACAGUUAAACAAUGUUAGCAGUUAUUAGGAAUAAGAGAGAGUGCAUUAGAUAGAUAACACUAACAAGAACAUAAUAUCCGUUUUCAGCCAGCAAAUGUUUAUAAAAUUUUAAAUGCUAAUAAAACAGGAGAAUAAUAGAAAUUAGAUUAUAUCACAAUGCUAAUCUUUAGAAGCAUUAAGAGCUAUAUUUAAUUUUUUGUUAUUUAAUUCAGCUUAGGCCAGAGUCUUUCAAGAAAAAAAGUCUUAUUAGAGAAGUCUUCAUAUCUCGUGAGGAUGAAUUAAAAGCAGAAUCUCAACUUUGCUACCUUUAAAUGUCACGGAGAGAAAAAACUGCAAAACCAUGUGCAACAAUAUCCAUGAUAAAUCAUCUUUGAUCUCAACAUAACGGAGACUAUAAGGAGUAUAAAGACUAGAAGAAAGAGUAGAAGGUGAUCCACAAUCAAUUCAGAACCUGGUCUUCUAUGGUGGCUCACAGUUCCUGCACCCUACAAUAUCGUGAAUUUUCUUCCUCUUCAUCUAAUGACAUGAAUAUGCUCCAGUGGAUCCUAGGAUAUCUUUCACAUGAGGUUACCCUUGCCCUUUGGAUGUCAGGUGGAACAAAGGGAUGGAAGAUUUUUUGUACUGGGACAUUCAGUAAACCCCUAGGCCUACCUAUUGUCUAGUCAGAGUUAGAGAAGCAAAUGAUGUCUGUGAGGGCCUACAAGGCACAAGAGGAUGAAAGUUUAACUUAAAGUUUAGAUGCUGAUAUUCUAGCUAGUAAUAAUGUAUGAUUGCCUCAUGUACUACUCUUUUUUUAUAUUUCUCUCCUAAUGUAUAAAGAUGGAUUUCAAAAGAUAGGCAGCCUGGGAUUCAAAUUCUGAUCAUCUUUUCACUUUGUAAACUAAUGGAUAUAUUUUUUUAAAACAUUGUGUUUAAUACACGCCAAUGCCAAAGGCUUUCUACAGACUCAUGUGGAGUGGGAUGAUGCCCAGAAUGUCGAUAAAUUGACAGAAUAAUAUGAAGAACCCAACAGUCAUGUGCCAUGAAUUCUGCAGGCACAUUUGGACAUGAGUGUGAGCCAGAAGAUCAUUCUAUUUGGGAAAAUUUAAAUUGGGUGCAAGAAGCAUUAGCUAACAGUCUGAACCGAGGUAUGAUCCAAACUGAUAAAACUUGAUGAAGUUGGAAGAAGCAAAAGGGAGUUGGUAUGGAUCCUCAGAAUACGACAGAAACACAAGGAGUUUCAAGGGCAUUUGACAACAUGAAGUGCCAGCUAUAUUAGGGCACAGCAGAAAAAAAAUGUUUUCUGGACAGACUUAAUUUCUGAAGUGCCUUCUCCUCUUAUACUACCAUGGAAAUUACAGUGUUCUUCUGCUGUCUCAGCACCUUCCACAUUUAAAAAAAAAUCAUGCCUUUCCUUAUCUGUCUACCUAAUUAGACAUCCAUGGAUGAGAAAUGUGUCUAUGUAUCUUCAGUUUCUAUAUGUCCACUACAAUCCUCAUGCCUGGAACAGAGAGGUGUUCAAUAAAUCCAUGAACAAAAAGAAACUGAAGUUCUAAGGUCCAAACAAUGUUGAUUCUUUAUGAGCCAGUAGGGAUUUGCCUCUUUCUAAUUCCUCCUGGAGCACAAGUGUUCCCGGAAUCUGGAGCAGGGUUAAAAGCAGAGAUGAAUAAUGAUCCCCAUUGUAAAGUCCCAGGGAUCCAGAUAAGAUAAUAUGCCCCACUCCAGGGAGAAUAUAUAUACUUUUUUAUUAAGAAGACACAAGAAAUGGAAUGCAGCCUAUGUUUGUAAGCGGACUUUAAUAUUAAGCCCUCAAUAAAUAUUUGAUAAAUGAAUGAAUGAUUCUGUCCAAAGAGGUUAAUCAUUAAAAUGCUCAGAGGAGACCUCAGCAGGCCCUUGAAGAACACAGCAAUUUAAGAAGUAAAAAGGAGGAUGUAGGGGAAUGUUAGUCAGGGUCAAGCCAAACAUUGAAUUCAGCAUGGCAAAUGAAAUUUACUGUAAGUGGUCUCUGUGCUGAGAUACAUAUUACUGUUUGUGCAAAUUUAGUUCCGUUAACUUUUCCCAAAACUUCUUCACCACCUUAUCUUGGAGCUUAAUUCUAACUCUCUCUACUAUGUCCAUACUAUGGGAAUGUCUUCAAGAUAAUAUUGUCUUGUUAAAAUUCGGCUUCAGACUUCAGGACUUUUACAUUCUUGGAUGGGGAUCUAAACAAGACAUGAACCAAUCAUAAGGAAAUAUGGCUCCUUCUCCAUUAUUUUAAACAAGAAAAUAUUAUUGUUAUUGUAGCUGUUUGAGAGACAAGGAGAUUAAACUUGCUACGGUUAAGAAAUUUGAAAGCAGAUUUUUUUAGAGGCAGACAAUAAGGAAGAGUGUUUUUGGACAUACUUUGCUCAAACCUUUCCUGUGUUUGAGUAUUCCACCCAAACAGAACUUUCUCCAUUGAGCCAUUUGCUGUCCUGUCAGCUAAAAAAUAAAAAAUAAAAAAAACAAUAAAACAAAACAAAACAAAGAGCAAAAACCAUUUUAUCUUCUUGAUACUGUGGCACUUGAUGUGCAACAGAGAGACUACAUUCUUGCAAUCGGUCAGAAGCAGAACUUGACCAAUAUGAAACAAUACAUAUCCUAAGAAAACAACAUGCACAGAUAAUUUGCAGAAAGUUUAGAACAACAACAAUAAAAUAUUUUAAUUUGC
RNAcentral lists this long non-coding RNA (3153 nucleotides) under Homo sapiens (human). Its description in RNAcentral is "HSALNT0393961". Lineage: Eukaryota; Metazoa; Chordata; Mammalia; Primates; Hominidae. The record is from RNAcentral.